RNAcentral lists this ribosomal RNA (218 nucleotides) under uncultured bacterium. Its description in RNAcentral is "partial 16S ribosomal RNA". It matches the Rfam family "Bacterial small subunit ribosomal RNA", at positions 524 to 740 of the family's 1533-position model. The record is from RNAcentral.
UACGAAGGGGGCUAGCGUUGUUCGGAAUCACUGGGCGUAAAGCGCACGUAGGCGGAUUGUUAAGUCGGGGGUGAAAUCCUGAGGCUCAACCUCAGAACUGCCUUCGAUACUGGCAAUCUCGAGUCCGGAAGAGGUUGGUGGAACAGCUAGUGUAGAGGUGAAAUUCGUAGAUAUUAGCUAGAACAACCAGUGGCGAAGGCGGCCAACUGGUCCGGUAC